CACUCUUGCGAGCAUACUUCCCAGGCGGGAUACUUAACGCGUUAGCUUCGAUACUGCACAGGUCGAUCUGUUCAACAUCUAGUAUCCAUAGUUUACGGCUAGGACUACUGGGGUAUCUAAUCCCAUUUGCUACCCUAGCUUUCGUCUCUGAGUGUUAGUAAUAGCCCAGUAAAGUGCUUUCGCCAUCGGUGUUCUUUCCAAUAUCUACGCAUUUCACCGCUCCACUGGAAAUUCCCUUUACCUCUACUAUACUCUAGUCUAAUAGUUUCGACUGCGAUUUUGAAGUUGAGCCUCAAGAUUUAACAGUUGACUUAUUAAACCACCUACAGACGCUUUACGCCCAGUGAUUCCGGAUAACACUUGCAUCCUCCGUCUUAGCCGCGGCUGCUGGCACGGAGUUAGCCGAUGCUUAUUCUUCAGGUACACWGUCAUUUUAUUCCUCCCUGAAAAAAGAGGUUUACAACCCAUAGGCAGUCUUCCCUCACGCGGUAUUGCUCCGUCAGCUUUCGCCCAUUGCGGAAAAUUCCCCACUGCUGCCUCCCGUAGGAAUCACUAGUG
RNAcentral lists this ribosomal RNA (558 nucleotides) under uncultured alga. RNAcentral describes it as "partial 16S ribosomal RNA". The record is from RNAcentral.